UGUUUUAACAAAAACAUGUCUGUGUGUAUAAGUUAUAAAGUCUAGCCUGCCCACUGAUUGAUUUAAAGGGCCGCGGUAAUUUGACCGUGCGAAGGUAGCAUAGUCAGUAGUCUUUUAAUUGAAGGCUUGAAUGAAAGGUUGGACGAGGGAUGAGCUGUCUCCUUUACGUGAUUUGAAUUUAACUUUUGAGUGAAAAGGCUCAAAUUAUUUAGUGGGACGAUAAGACCCUAUAAAACUUUAUAUAAGUUUAAUUUGGCUUACAAUUUGAGUGAAAAGUAGCUCUAUUAAGCUUAUGUUUCGUUGGGGAGAUGUAGAUAUAAUGUGUAACUGUCUGUUUAAUUUAAUAAUUAUAAUUAGUGUGUGAUCCUUCUUUGUGGAUUAAAAGUAUAAGUUACUUUAGGGAUAACAGCGUGAUUUUCUUUGAGAGUUCUUAUCGACAAGAGUAGUUGCGACCUCGAUGUUGAAUUAAAAUUUCAGUUAGGUGUAGCCGUCUAGCUGGUAGGUCUGUUCGACCUUUAAAAUUUUACGUGAUCUGAGUU
RNAcentral lists this ribosomal RNA (539 nucleotides) under Macrobrachium formosense. RNAcentral's name for it is "partial 16S ribosomal RNA". It matches the Rfam family "Bacterial large subunit ribosomal RNA", at positions 1801 to 2611 of the family's 2925-position model. The record is from RNAcentral. Lineage: Eukaryota; Metazoa; Arthropoda; Malacostraca; Decapoda; Palaemonidae.